UUUCCCCUUCGAAUGCGGCCGGUAACACGUCUAGGUUCGCUUAGAGCUCCCUGCAACCUCCUCUCCCCCUUCCUCUAUUAAUCCGGAGGGCGUUAGACGGCCAAUUCCGUCCAAAUUUCGUUGAUCCUCCUUUCCACUGCUUCGAUCCCCAAUUUGUGAUGGCUCGAUUCGGUGGAUGGAUUCAGUUCCUGAUCUCCUUCCUCCGAGUUCUCAUGGAGAGGCCCGUUCCCGACGAGAUUCAGCUCGCGUUUUGAAGCCAGAUCGGCCGUCGAUUAGAUGGCUUGGUUUGGUGGAUGGAUUAGCUUGUUGUUCUUCAUCUUGCGAAUUCUGAAGGAGAGGCCCGCUUCGAGUGAUCUCCUACUCGUUCUGUAACAGACUGAACGAGGAUCAGAAAUCCUUCAAUGUUUGAAGAAGAUGAAUUGAAUAUCACGCUUCAAAUUGUAAUCGAGUUGUAUGUAACUUUGCUUUAACACAGAGUGAGUCGAGUUGAGAGCAGAUUCAGCAGAACUAGCCAAUUUGCUAGUUACAGAUUCCAUUGUGGGUUGUUUGUUUCUUAAGCUCUAGUGCUGUGGUGUACUGAAGUUUUGUGUAAUCGACAUCAUUUCUUAAUCA
This is a long non-coding RNA of Zingiber officinale, 612 nucleotides long. RefSeq lists it as uncharacterized. The record is from RefSeq and is a predicted model, not a curated record. The transcript has 2 exons. NCBI's taxonomy places the organism in Eukaryota, Viridiplantae, Streptophyta, Magnoliopsida, Zingiberales, Zingiberaceae.